RNAcentral lists this long non-coding RNA (425 nucleotides) under Physcomitrium patens. RNAcentral describes it as "long non-coding RNA (PPAT_LNC011650)". Lineage: Eukaryota; Viridiplantae; Streptophyta; Bryopsida; Funariales; Funariaceae. The record is from RNAcentral.
AGAUUAAAGCAGCUUAUAUUGCUAUGCAACUUAUUAAUUGCAUUCCUAUCCAUACAAAUCAAGGUAUGCCUCUUGAUUAUCUCUCCUAUAACAUAAAACCAAAUAUUAAUUUAAUAAAGGUGUGAUUGUCAUUUUACUUAUUCUAUAAUUCCUUUCAGAAUAAACUUAUAUAGAGGAAUUCGAACACAGGGAAAGACUAAGUGCAUGAGUUUUACUUGUUAGGAUCUUACAACUAACCGUAUUCCGAACCACUAAAAUACUAAGAAACACUGCAAUGCUUUCUUCCAGUAACAAUAUUCCUUCAUCAAUUGAUAACAGCAGUGUGCAACCUUGCACUCUCAAAAGACCGCUCAAAACACAUAAUUUCCAUCCAACACCAAAAAUGACAGACUUCACUCCAACCAAUUUGAAUUCACAGAAUUUCU